RNAcentral lists this unclassified non-coding RNA (358 nucleotides) under Bombus terrestris (buff-tailed bumblebee). RNAcentral's name for it is "misc RNA ENSBTSG00005022983.1". Lineage: Eukaryota; Metazoa; Arthropoda; Insecta; Hymenoptera; Apidae. The record is from RNAcentral.
GGAAUAUUUGUGACCGCGCGCAAUGCGGUUGUAGAGUCAGUGUUUGCUACGCAAUAAUUUCUUUUCAAUAUUUUAAAAUCACGAUACUUUUGAUCAAAUUCGAUCGGAUAAUCACACGCGAAAAGUCAGUGCCUCCCUCAAGAGGAUAAAGCCUCUCCAGGAGCUCAAGAAUACAUAUCACAGCUUCAACUUCUUUAUCUCUUUUGAGAAUGCACCAAAAGCCAAAAAUGUAAGUAACUUUACAUAUCGUACUUCAAUUAUGUCUAUUCUGUAUAUUUUUCUUUAACCACUAUCAAUUAAGAAACACAAUCCGAUUGAAAAUUUGGGCGGUUAGCAUUUUCUGAGGUUAUUCUCUCAU